This 760-nucleotide ribosomal RNA is filed under the name uncultured Flavobacteriales bacterium. RNAcentral describes it as "bacterial SSU rRNA". It matches the Rfam family "Bacterial small subunit ribosomal RNA", at positions 38 to 799 of the family's 1533-position model. The record is from RNAcentral. Lineage: Bacteria; Pseudomonadati; Bacteroidota; Flavobacteriia; Flavobacteriales.
UGCGGCGGCUUACACAUGCAAGUCGAGGGGUAGAAUUUCUUCGGAAAUUUGAGACCGGCGCACGGGUGCGUAACGCGUAUGCAAUCUACCCUUUACUGGAGAAUAGCCCGGAGAAAUUCGGAUUAAUGCUCCAUAUGCUCGUAGGAUCUCCUGAUCCAGCGAGGAAAGCUCCGGCGGUAAAGGAUGAGCAUGCGUCCCAUUAGCUUGUUGGUGAGGUAACGGCUCACCAAGGCGACGAUGGGUAGGGGGCCUGAGAGGGCGAUCCCCCACACUGGUACUGAGACACGGACCAGACUCCUACGGGAGGCAGCAGUGAGGAAUAUUGGGCAAUGGAGGCAACUCUGACCCAGCCAUGCCGCGUGCAGGAAGACGGUCCUCUGGAUUGUAAACUGCUUUUAUUAGGGAAUAAACCCUCCUACGUGUAGGAGGCUGAAGGUACCUGAUGAAUAAGCAUCGGCUAACUCCGUGCCAGCAGCCGCGGUAAUACGGAGGAUGCAAGCGUUAUCCGGAUUUAUUGGGUUUAAAGGGUCCGUAGGCGGGUAUUUAAGUCAGUGGUGAAAGCCCACAGCUCAACUGUGGAACUGCCAUUGAUACUGGAUGUCUUGAGUAUAGUAGAAGUAGGCGGAAUAGGGCAUGUAGCGGUGAAAUGCAUAGAUAUGCCCUAGAACACCGAUUGCGAAGGCAGCUUACUAUGUUAUAACUGACGCUGAGGGACGAAAGCGUGGGGAGCAAACAGGAUUAGAUACCCUGGUAGUCCACG